GGCCCUUUAGUCUAGGGGUUAGGACGUUGGAUUUUGACCGCUAAUCAUCUUCCAAAGACGCCAGUUCGAUUCUGGCAUGGGCCU
Molecule: transfer RNA, 84 nt
Filed under: Ophiocordyceps sinensis
Lineage: Eukaryota; Fungi; Ascomycota; Sordariomycetes; Hypocreales; Ophiocordycipitaceae
Also listed under: 1 other name
Rfam family: tRNA
About the family: Transfer RNA (tRNA) molecules are approximately 80 nucleotides in length. Their secondary structure includes four short double-helical elements and three loops (D, anti-codon, and T loops).
Source: Rfam by way of RNAcentral